AGCAGCCGCGGUAAUUCCAGCUCCAAUAGCGUAUAUUAAAGUUGUUGCAGUUAAAAAGCUCGUAGUUGAAUUUCGGGAUUGACGUGACGGUCGUGCCUUAAGGGGUAUGAACUGUCGCCGUUGAUUUCUCACCUUCUGGAGAAGCUCGAUGUCCUUAAUUGGAUGUCUUGUGGAACCAGGACCUUUACCUUGAAAAAUUAGAGUGUUUAAAGCAGGCAUUUUGCUCGAAUACAUUAGCAUGGAAUAAUAGAAUAGGACGGCAUGGUUCUAUUUUGUUGGUUUCUAGGAUCACCGUAAUGAUUAAUAGGGAUAGUUGGGGGCAUUAGUAUUCAAUUGUCAGAGGUGAAAUUCUUGGAUUUAUUGAAGACUAACUACUGCGAAAGCAUUUGCCAAGGAUGUUUUCAUUAAUCAAGAACGAAAGUUAGGGGAUCGAAGACGAUCAGAUACCGUCGUAGUCUUAACCAUAAACUAUGCCGACUAGGAAUCAGACGAUGUUAAUUUUUA
RNAcentral lists this ribosomal RNA (504 nucleotides) under uncultured Entrophospora. Its description in RNAcentral is "SSU rRNA". It matches the Rfam family "Eukaryotic small subunit ribosomal RNA", at positions 569 to 1072 of the family's 1831-position model. Lineage: Eukaryota; Fungi; Glomeromycota; Glomeromycetes; Entrophosporales; Entrophosporaceae. The record is from RNAcentral.